Molecule: ribosomal RNA, 238 nt
Filed under: uncultured bacterium
Lineage: Bacteria
Description: partial 16S ribosomal RNA
Rfam family: Bacterial small subunit ribosomal RNA
Source: RNAcentral
GAUCAUGGCUCAGGAUGAACGCUAGCGACAGGCCUAACACAUGCAAGUCGAGGGGCAGCGGGGAGGUAGCAAUACCUUUGCCGGCGACCGGUCGCACGGGUGAGUAACACGUAUGCAAUCCACCUGUAACAGGGGGAUAACCCGGAGAAAUCCGGACUAAUACCCCAUAAUAUGGGCGCUCCGCAUGGAGAGCCCAUUAAAGAGAGUCAAUUUUGGUUACAGACGAGCAUGCGCUCCA